Long non-coding RNA from Juglans regia (Persian walnut), 1625 nucleotides. RefSeq lists it as uncharacterized. The record is from RefSeq and is a predicted model, not a curated record. NCBI's taxonomy places the organism in Eukaryota, Viridiplantae, Streptophyta, Magnoliopsida, Fagales, Juglandaceae. The transcript has 3 exons.
GGUUACACCGAGAGUCAGAGACUUUGCAUUGUUUUUGUUUGGCCCAUGAGUAGAGUGAGAGGACUGAAGAGAGACCGUGAGAUUGAAAACUCAAAGUUCAAAAUCCUAAUAUUUCGAAAGAGGGUCCUCGUCUCAGUGGUGCGUUGUGUUUUUUCUUCAUCUCAGCAGAAAUGUUGUUAUGUAGAGCUGAUUGGGUUCGAGUACUUCAUGGUUUGAAAAAAUCAAGUAGAGAAGACCAACUUAUAAGGAGAUUUUACUACCUUGACAUGAAUUGCUGGCAGGUUGUAUAUUUUUGCCUUUUGGUAUAAUGCUAUUUAUUAUUAAAUUGUUAUUUUGUUAUAUCAUAUUCCUAAUGAUAUCUUGUGUGUUUUGUAUCAUAGGUUGAUGGGGAUUAGCUUCUGGCUGGUUUUUUGUCGUUUGUUUUUUUUUGGUGAAUUGAUCUACUAAAAAUAUUAAAAGGAAGUAUGCUUAUAGGACAUGUUGUUUAAGUAGGGAUGUAAUUAUUUUUGUGAAAAAACUUGUUGACUCGUCGGAGCUGUCCAAUUAGACAAGGUUGCUGGAAAUUUGGAUUUCUUUUGACAGCUUUGACAUAUAGGUAAUUUCAUUACUUGUAUAGUUGACUUAAAUUGCAGAAGUAUAUGGAAUAUUGCAAACCACUGUUUUUGUACGUAAUGGAGAAAUAUGGAUAACAUGAACUAAUUUUUUGUAUUGUUUUAUUUUUGUACUUGGUGCUCAAAGAAAUGGUUUAACAUGUUGAUAGUGGUUUCAUGUUUGUUAUUCUUGGCUAUUAUUAUUAGGUUGUUUACUACUUUUAUUUAUUGUUCUACAAGUUAUUAUUCAAUCUAUUGUGUUUCAUUCAUUUUUAGACUAAGUGUUUAUUAUUAGUGUUUAUCAUUUUAUUAAUAAGUUGCUUACUCUUAGUUAAGAUUAGUAGAUUUAUUAGUGUUUAUAUAUAUUUUAUUCUCUUUAAACUAAGACAAACUUUUACAUACUUAUGUAACUGUCAAAUGUAGAAUUGGCUCCUAUAUUCAAAGGUGAAGGGCCAACAUAUUUCUAUUGAUUUAUUUCUAAUAAGAAUGUUGGCUCCUAUGUCAUAUGUGCAUAAGAAAUGAGGCUGAAAUGAAUAAAUGUUGGUGGACUUUUCAGUUUGUAAAUUUGAAUAUGUGAUUUAGAAGUUAUUAUUGUGAAUCUGUGAUACCUUAGAAGUUGGAAUUAUUUAUCUAUUUUAGUUUUUAACUAUAUUUUGGCAAGUGAUAAAUUAUUGAUUUAUUUGCAAUAAGAAUGUUGUCAAUAAACAAUGCUAUGUAAUGUGUUGCUGUGCAUCAAAGUGGCUCAAGUGAAUAAGAGUUAGAGGACUUUUUUCUACCAUUUAUUUAGUUUUUUUUCCUAGUUGAUGCUAUAAAUAGUGUUCAACCAUUUGAAAUUGUAAUUUAUUGUUAUACCUUAGAAGUUGGAAUUAUGUACCUAUUUGUAACUAUAUUGUGGCAAGUGAUGAAUCAUUGAUUUAUUUGCAAAAAGGUGUUGUUUAAGCAAUGCUAUGUCAUGUGUUGCUGACUGUUGUGCAUCAGAAAUGGGGCUGAUUCGGCUGAAGUCAUGAAUAAGAGUUGAAGAAUAUUCUUCUACCA